CGGAGGACCUCGACCCACCGGGAGGAUGGUACAAGAACAAAAAAAAAAUCAGAUCGACCUCUAUAUGUGACAACCAUAGAUCUGCAUCACAAAGUACCUAGGGUUCAUCACAACCAUAAAUCCAGAUACAGAACAACAAAAGGAGCGCACGGAUCUGAGAGAAGAAGAACCUAGGGUUCAUCGACACCAACCAAAAUAAGACGAAUCGAC
RNAcentral lists this long non-coding RNA (210 nucleotides) under Setaria italica (foxtail millet). RNAcentral describes it as "long non-coding RNA (SITA_LNC004675)". Lineage: Eukaryota; Viridiplantae; Streptophyta; Magnoliopsida; Poales; Poaceae. The record is from RNAcentral.